Molecule: ribosomal RNA, 477 nt
Filed under: uncultured bacterium
Lineage: Bacteria
Description: partial 16S ribosomal RNA
Rfam family: Bacterial small subunit ribosomal RNA
Source: RNAcentral
GAUGAACGCUGGCGGCGUGCCUAACACAUGCAAGUCGAACGGAGUCCAGCCUUAGAGACCUUCGGGUCAAAGAGGGGAAGACUGAGUGGCGGACGGGUGAGUAACACGUGGGCAACCUGGCUCAUAGAGGGGGAUAACAGAGAGAAAUUUCUGCUAAUACCGCAUAAGCACACACUGCCGCAUGGCAGAGUGUGAAAAGAGAGUCGCUAUGAGAUGGACCCGCGUCUGAUUAGCCAGUUGGCAGGGUAAGAGCCUACCAAAGCGACGAUCAGUAGCCGAUUUGAGAGGAUGAACGGCCACAUUGGGACUGAGACACGGCCCAAACUCCUACGGGAGGCAGCAGUGGGGGAUAUUGCACAAUGGGGGGAACCCUGAUGCAGCGACGCCGCGUGAGUGAAGAAGUAUUUCGGUAUGUAAAGCUCUAUCAGCAGGGAAGAUAAUGACAGUACCGGAAUAAGAAGCCCCGGCUAACUACGU